This is a non-coding RNA of Kogia breviceps (pygmy sperm whale), 2046 nucleotides long. The record is from RefSeq and is a predicted model, not a curated record. Lineage: Eukaryota; Metazoa; Chordata; Mammalia; Artiodactyla; Physeteridae.
ACGCGAUGAAGCAGAAGGUGGCAUCCCGCAGUGACUGGUUCACCUUCACUGCCCAGAUCACCAGCACGUUCCCAGACAAUUAAAAGGCUUUGAGGGACCCAACUCAUCAGACCUCAGGCAGCUCAUGUCUUCCAGAUGUGACAAAACUUGUAAACACUCUAAUCUUGAAAGUGAAACACUGCUGAUGCAUUGGAUGGAGGAAGUGCUCAUGUUGAGCUUAAGCCAGACAUGUGGACUAAGUGAUUGACCACUAGAACCUGCUUUCAUUUCUUAUUGCUUCACUACAUUGAGUGCAAAGAAAUCACCAACAGUGAAGAAAUGCUGUGCUGUUUGAUGGACAUAAAGUCACUUUUUAAGAGAAAUUCUCAGAUUUUGCUCUCCAUCACUACCUCUCCUGAUGUCUCUCUGAAGGCUCCAUUUGAAACCUAGAGCACCUCCAAUUCCCUCACUGCCUCCCAUCUGUGGCCUCAGGCUCACCUGGAAAGCAUGUACUCACCUGCAGCACCCUUCUUCACCUGUCAGCCUCAGAGAGGGAGAGGAGGCACCUUCAUUCAGUCCCAAGGCCUAAGAGGCAGUCCAAGAGCCUAGGUAGUCCAAGAGCCAACACUCUUCACACUUCUGACAUUAGUGCUCUGUGCACCCAGUAUGUAGAAGGAAGAAGGUGCACUAGUUGAUCCUUAGACUACAUUACACCUCUGACAUUCUAUGAUUCUGUGAUCUGUUCUCACCCUGCUACAAAGCCCCACAAAUAAUGCUGAUUUGCGUGACAUGUUCUUAUAUCUAGGUCCUAUUGAAAUGUACAUGCCUUCCAGCCAGCUACCUCCCACCUGGUCCUCAUCCAUAAUACCAGAGAACUAGCCUAGGCAAACAAAAUGUGGGGCCUGUUUGGAGAAGCUAGAGGCUCCCACUCUUCCAGAACCUUCUCCUUGAUCCUCUAUACCUAGGCAUGUGAGACUCUGGGAUGGGAAACUUGCUUUGAUGUGAGUCAAGCAAACUAGCAGCCUAGGUCAGCCCCCCUGUGAGGUCAGUAGGCACUGGAAGAUGCUGGGAGUCAGAGGGUUGGGACUGGGUAUGCAGCAGAUGUGGAAGAAUAGAGUCAGGAGCAGAUGAAGGGGAUCUCUGAGCAUUUUGAAAUCCAAGCACCACCAUGCAAAUGAGAUCAGCCCAGCAUGCAAAUAGACAGAAUCAAGUUGAGACAGUCAGGGUGGGGGCACAAACAACCUGGCCCUGGAGCCCCAGCCAGGGAUAAGGGCUUCCUCUGGAUGGAGUAGGACUGCUGGAGGAGGAGGCUACAGUCAGAGCAGGGGGCCCUGAGUGCCCAAGCCAGCAGGGGUGGGGAUUAAGGCCUGACGCCCUGCUGUCAAGUUAGAGCUGAUGGAUCACCACUGGUGGCAGAGCACAAAGGCUGUUCUGUGCUUGGCACCAAUGUGUUCCCAUCCAUCAGAGGGCAGUUUUCAUGGGGUGGAGGAAUAUGCAGGGGGAGCCUCUAGGGGCAGCUUUUCCUCAGCUCAGUUCUAAGAGAGGAGCAAGGAGAAAAGAGGGUCAAUCGCUCCAUUAGUGUUCUGAGUUGAGAGACACCUGGGCCACCAUAUCUUCUCAGUCCUGGAAGGGUCUGUGCCUCACAGCUGGGACUUGACAUAGUCCCCAAGCCACUUACUUAGACAGACAUACACAACACAUCCACAGACAGGGAUUCAUUGAAACCUAGACACACAAGGUCACCCCUAACCUCCCAGUCCUGCCCUCACAUUUGGUCAGAGGCAAACGUCACACAGACCUAAGGCCAAACUCACACCCAAACUGAGGGCAGGGACUGAUCUCAUUUACUGCUCUUGCCUAUGUCCAGUGAUGCCCGGGGAAUAAUAGAGAGUGGGCUCUAAGGAAAUUGAGUUGAGCAGAGAAAGGAGUAAAUGAAUAAAUUCCUUCUCUGGAUUAUAUUAGCAUUUUUUCUAGCCUACUCUAUCAUCACCUACUUUGUAUAAUCAUCUUCCUCAUUCAACUGUGAGCACGCAGAAAGACCACAUCUUAUUCACAUUAGUGACUCUC